GACAGAGGGUGCAAACGUUGUUCGGAAUUACUGGGCGUAAAGCGUGCGCAGGCGGUUCGUUGUGUCGGUGGUGAAAUCCCCGGGCUUAACCUGGGAAUGGCCAUGGAAACUGGCGAACUGGAGUGUGGCAGAGGGGGGUGGAAUUCCGCGUGUAGCAGUGAAAUGCGUAGAGAUGCGGAGGAACACCGAUGGCGAAGGCAGCCCCCUGGGCUAGCACUGACGCUCAGGCACGAAAGCGUGGGGAGCAAACAGG
This 253-nucleotide ribosomal RNA is filed under the name uncultured bacterium. RNAcentral describes it as "partial 16S ribosomal RNA". It matches the Rfam family "Bacterial small subunit ribosomal RNA", at positions 524 to 776 of the family's 1533-position model. The record is from RNAcentral.